Molecule: non-coding RNA, 22 nt
Filed under: Arabidopsis thaliana (thale cress)
Lineage: Eukaryota; Viridiplantae; Streptophyta; Magnoliopsida; Brassicales; Brassicaceae
Also listed under: 1 other name
Source: RNAcentral
GCCGCUAUGGUGAAAUUGGUAG